UACGAAGGGGGCUAGCGUUGUUCGGAAUUACUGGGCGUAAAGCGCGCGCAGGCGGUCUUCCAAGUCAGUGGUGAAAGCCCGGAGCUCAACUCCGGAACUGCCAUUGAAACUGUGAGACUGGAGUACGAGAGAGGUGAGUGGAAUUCCCAGUGUAGAGGUGAAAUUCGUAGAUAUUGGGAAGAACACCGGUGGCGAAGGCGGCUACACUGGCUCGUAACUGACGCUCAGGCGCGACAGCGUGGGGAUCAAACAGG
Molecule: ribosomal RNA, 254 nt
Filed under: uncultured bacterium
Lineage: Bacteria
Description: partial 16S ribosomal RNA
Rfam family: Bacterial small subunit ribosomal RNA
Source: RNAcentral